This 497-nucleotide ribosomal RNA is filed under the name uncultured bacterium. RNAcentral describes it as "partial 16S ribosomal RNA". It matches the Rfam family "Bacterial small subunit ribosomal RNA", at positions 28 to 507 of the family's 1533-position model. The record is from RNAcentral.
GAUGAACGCUGGCGGCGUGCCUAAUAAAUGCAAGUCGAGCGAACAGACGAGGAGCUUGCUCCUCUGACGUUAGCGGCGGACGGGUGAGUAACACGUGGAUAACCUACCUAUAAGACUGGGAUAACUUCGGGAAACCGGAGCUAAUACCGGAUAAUAUAUUGAACCGCAUGGUUCAAUAGUGAAAGACGGUUUUGCUGUCACUUAUAGAUUGAUCCGCGCCGCAUUAUCUAGUUGGUAAGGUAACGGCUUACCAAGGCAACGAUGCGUAGCCGACCUGAGAGGGGGAUCGGCCACACUGGAACUGAGACACGGUCCAGACUCCUACGGGAGGCAGCAGUAGGGAAUCUUCCGCAAUGGGCGAAAGCUUGACGGAGCAACGCCGCGUGAGUGAUGAAGGUCUUCGGAUCGUAAAACUCUGUUAUUAGGGAAGAACAAAUGUGUAAGUAACUAUGCACGUCUUGACGGUACCUAAUCAGAAAGCCACGGCUAACUACGUG